UUAGUCGCGGUCUCAUGGUUCCGCCCAGUGCCUCUUCCUGCCAACUGGGACGUUUAUUAGCAUACAUACGGUAGGCCGGAGAAUCUAGUCCAGUUUAAACUCACAUUCAGAUUGUACAUUUGUGGUUUGGAUGUUGAAACUUUAAUAAGUGGUUACAUACGAUUUGGAUAACUACCGACAUAUUUAAGGUUGAAUACAGUGGUUCAAAAGUACGGAAACCCUUGCGGGUCAAAUUUCUUUUUUCAUCUUAAAUUUGGAUUUAUAAGCGGUGAUUGUAUCUAAGUUAACUUCAAUUUGAGACUUUAUCUAAGCUAGAAGUGAACUAAUUUCCUGAAGGAUUCUGCAAAGACGAUUCAGGAUCCAAUUCACAACACGUUUUUGUUUUCCUACGGAGUUUAUUGCAAGUUUUCGAGUAAGCUUUUUAAUGUUGGAUAAAUUCCCGAGCUUUCCAAAGAGGAAGAUCCCUCCCUGAGCAUGUUCAGACGUCGGCUGAGGUUACGUCAUGAAGGACGUUUGGCCACGUGACAGUCAUGCGAGCCGGGGGUCAGAGCGUUGUUCAAGUUGGCUUAUUUCUGCUAGCCUGUUCCCAGGUGUGGGCAUUUUACGGACUCACGUCGAAGGAGUCAAUCCUGACGCCAGAUUUCCAGAAGAUGCGUGACCCUCCCAAGGUCGACGCCGCUGGCCUCUGUAACAGGCUGGGCCUGCACCGGAAACAGAAGAGAAUUUGCCGCAAAGGGAAAGGGAUGGCGCAAACGUUAGCGGCCGCUACAGGCCUGUCCGCAGAGGAGUGCAUGUACCAGUUCCGCUACGAACGCUGGAACUGUUCGCUCGGAAAUUACCGGAAAAAUAUUCUUGA
This is a long non-coding RNA of Physella acuta, 856 nucleotides long. RefSeq lists it as uncharacterized. NCBI's taxonomy places the organism in Eukaryota, Metazoa, Mollusca, Gastropoda, Physidae. The record is from RefSeq and is a predicted model, not a curated record.